CCUACGGGUGGCAGCAGUGAGGAAUAUUGGUCAAUGGACGAGAGUCUGAACCAGCCAAGUAGCGUGAAGGAUGACGGCCCUAGGGGUUGUAAACUUCUUUUAUAAAGGAAUAAAACGAGGUACGUGUGCCUCUUUGCAUGUACCUUAUGAAUAAGGAUCGGCUAACUCCGUGCCAGCAGCCGCGGUAAUACGGAGGAUCCGAGCGUUAUCCGGAUUUAUUGGGUUUAAAGGGAGCGUAGGCGGGUUGGUAAGUCAGUUGUGAAAGUUUGCGGCUCAACCGUAAAAUUGCAGUUGAUACUGGCAGUCUUGAGUACAGUAGAGGUAAGCGGAAUGCGUGGUGUAGCGGUGAAAUGCUUAGAUAUCACGAAGAACCCCGAUUGCGAAGGCAGCUUACUGGACUGUAACUGACGUUGAUGCUCGAAAGUGUGGGUAUCAAACAGGAUUAGAUACCCUUGUAGUC
Molecule: ribosomal RNA, 460 nt
Filed under: uncultured bacterium
Lineage: Bacteria
Description: partial 16S ribosomal RNA
Rfam family: Bacterial small subunit ribosomal RNA
Source: RNAcentral